GGUUCAGGAUGAACGCUAGCGACAGGCCUAACACAUGCAAGUCGAGGGGCAGCGCGGGAGAAGCUUGCUUUCCUGGCGGCGACCGGCGCACGGGUGCGUAACAGGUGUGCAAUCUGUCCAUAGUCGGGGGAUAGCCCAGCGAAAGCUGAAUUAAUACUCCAUGUGAAUCGAAGCCGCAUGACUUUGAUUUGAAACGCAAGGACUAUGGGUGAGCACGCUUCUGAUUAGCUAGUUGGUGGGGUAACGGCUCACCAAGGCGACGAUCAGUAGGGUUCUGAGAGGAAGGUCCCCCACAUUGGAACUGAGACACGGUCCAAACUCCUACGGGAGGCAGCAGUGAGGAAUAUUGGUCAAUGGGCGAGAGCCUGAACCAGCCAAGUCGCGUGAAGGAUGAAGGUUCUAUGGAUUGUAAACUUCUUUUGUCCGAGGGUAAAAAAGGCCACGUGUGGCUUCUUGCAAGUAUCGGACGAAUAAGCAUCGGCUAACUCCGUGCCAGCCGCCGC
RNAcentral lists this ribosomal RNA (503 nucleotides) under uncultured bacterium. RNAcentral's name for it is "bacterial SSU rRNA". It matches the Rfam family "Bacterial small subunit ribosomal RNA", at positions 21 to 518 of the family's 1533-position model. The record is from RNAcentral.